This 4401-nucleotide long non-coding RNA is filed under the name Homo sapiens (human). RNAcentral's name for it is "PREDICTED lncRNA (TCONS_00234959)". Lineage: Eukaryota; Metazoa; Chordata; Mammalia; Primates; Hominidae. The record is from RNAcentral.
CCCGGCUCCGCGCCGGGGCUCCGCGCCCCUCCCUCGAGCUUGCCCACCCUCCAGUGCCAGCUGCAAUCCUGCGGCACCGGGUGGGGAGGGAGGAGGCCGCCGCAGAAGCGCCGCCGUCGCCGGCUCGCCUCUCUCGGGCCCCAGCGGCGGCAGCGGGCAGCGCCCAGAGCUGCUGCGCCAAAAAGGGCCAGAGAGCCGGUCCCCGCCCCCGCCCCGGCGCUCCGGCCGCUCUCCACGGUUCGGAUCCAGGGCCCCAGCCUUCCUCUCUCCAUAAAAGGAGGGGGAGUCAGUCUUUGGGGAAGGAGGGGGGCGGGUUUGGGGCACUCACCUGGCGGCUGCCACGCGCCCCCGCCCAGGAUCCGAGGCCUGGGGCAUCUGAAUGAGGACCCUCCACCCACAUUUCCACUUGGGAGCGAGCUCCAGUCGGGGAAAGGGCCUGCAGCCCGCCUCGUCCCCACCCUGGGACCCCGCGCCCCCCAGUCCCCCACUCCCGCGCCGAAGGCAGGGCCGCGCCCUGAGCCGGGAAGUCGAGGGGAUGGAAGGGAAAGGAGCCACCGGUGAGGGUCCCCCGGGUUCUGAGCCUCCCGCGUCGGGAUCCGUGGGGCGCACAGAGCGCCACCUCCGGCCGAGGCGCAGCUCAGAGCGCGAUGCGGGGGAGGAACGCGCGCGGAGGCCGAGGUCUGAGCGUGGCUAGACGGCUCCCACGCCGAGAAAGGGCGGGUGCGCCUGGGCUGGAUGGAUUUCGCCUCCCUAGACCAGGAGGGAUUGGACCCUGACUACAGGUCCAGGUGCUCGUCAGUGCCCUGCCAGGGGGUCUACGCGUCCUGGUACCGGGUCCAGCGGGGUGGCGUGCUGUGCAGACCCCGAGGCUAGACGGCCUAGGCCCCUGGAGCCCAGGAGACGCUUCCUUGGGUGAGCAGCGGAGAAUCCCGCCCGGCCCAGCCGUCACCCCCAACCCUGUCGAUUAAACCCCUGCCCCCGUCGCGGUCGCCCUCCCUCCAGACAAAGGCCGUUAAGGCGCAGCCCCGCGGGCGGUCUUUCAUCCCCAGCUAGGCCAGCUCUAGCAUUUCAAAGGCCGAAUCCGGAGAGCGCUUCGGGGGCUCUCCCCUUCCCCCAAAUAUUUGGGGAGCGACGCCUCUCCCUCCGCUCCCAGUGGGUCGCGUCUACACGCGCCCUUCCACACACCUGCAGGCCCCCUCCCCACGUCUCUCCCUUCCGUUGGCCGCAGCCCCACACCACGACCCCCGCGGUCAAGCAUGCCCUCUGGGUGGUCAGGACCAAGCGGGACCGGGACAGAACCAGGGGAGCCUUGGAAACGUGGAGGAGCCCCUUAAAGCCAGGCCUUGUCCCUCCAGGGGGAACUUGCGGCUUGGGAGGGGACACCCACUGCAUGGCUUCUGGAAAGAGCCGGACUCGCAGGGCCAGGACGCAGGCCGGACCCCGGCCUCAUUCUUCGGCCAGUUAUCCCGGAGUGGCGCGCAUCCUGUCUUCCUGGGCCUCGGACUGCUCGCGCGCAGAGGGGGCCCGAGGACACCUCUGUGGGGUUAGAGGACUCGGUAAGACGGUGUGGAAGGCAAGGAGGAAGGUCGCGUUGUAUUGGGGAUGGGGUACCCGUCCCUCCCAGCUUGAGGGAUCCUGGGGGUCCUCGCCGCCUCUGAGGGCCUAGAUGGCUGCUUCCCUCGGCUCCCCUGCCCGGCCUGGAGCUACGGGUGCGCCCAGCUAGAGUUUAGGGCCACCUGGGGACGUGCAAGGGGCGCUGGAGCGAGGCGGGGGCUGGGGCGGGGCGUGGGUGCUUCACCCGCGGGGGACGCAGAGCUUAGGCGAAAGCGGUGCAGGCAUCUCUCUAAUCGCCGGCCGCUAUUAAAAAUAAAACCGCGACCCGUCGCCAUGGCGACCACAACAACAGCGGCCGCGCGAGGGAGGCGAAAACUUGUGCAGCCGCGCGACAGCCGCCUUCUGGGGAGACUCGGGGCACGACGCACCCGGCGUGGGACUGGGACCCCCCUGCCCGGCCCCGCCACAUUCUCCGCCGGAUCCCCGGAAGACACAAGGAGACGUGGACCCCCACAGGCUUUUUUGGGGGGAUUGGGCGUUGAAACCGCAGGGCUGACUUAACCAAGAGGUCACCGACUUGGAUAAAAAACCCACGCCCGCGCGGACCCCCCUCCCCGGCCUUCGUUUCCAUUCAAACUCCCAGCGUCCUCAUUGCAGCCCCUGGGGAGGGGGACGGAGGGACGAGGUGGGUUUCAGGUGCUCGGCCCAGGAGGGGACGGUGCGACCCGGGCCCCGCCGGCGGGUUUUGCGCGCGGAGGCUGCGGCACCUGCCCCGCCCGCCCUGCCGCGAUCCUUGCAGACGGGGGCGGUCACAUGCUUCUUUCUGGCCAGGAAUCGAGUUUCACUUCCAGCCGCUAUUAGUCGGUUCACACAGUUCACUGCAAACAUUUGAUAAUGAGGCUAAAUAUACUCCCGCGUCGGAGGAGGCGUGGGCGUCCCCGCCCAGGCCCGGGAGACAGAGGCGCUGACCCCGGGACAGAGCCUGGCUUUGUGCGGGAGGCAGACGCGCCCCGCGCGCCGCCCCCGAAACAUUCGCACCCCAUGCUGAGGCGCGCGUCUGGGAGUCCGUGGGCGCCCCGAGGUGAGCCCGGGGCCCCUGGCGGAAGCAGCGGGGAGCUCCCGGCGGGUGCGGGGAGGUGCUGGUGGGAAGCAAGGUGCACCUGGCGGCCUGGGAUGUCCGGUCGCCCCCGGAGCCGGUGCAUCCGGCCUCUCCCGGCGCGCCCCGACGUGCCCGCGGGCUCAUAAUUACCGUGAGUCAGGUGCCCCAAAUAGGCCGAGCGAGGGGGGCCGUCGCGCAGCAGGGGCGGGUGGCCGGACGUCUGCCCGGGACUGGUUGCCUCCCGCCCCUCCCCAAGACCCUGGCACCCAGGGAGGGCGGGAAAGGCCUUGGCCAUUCCUCUGGGUAGGGGACUGGAGAGGGGAAGAAACUUUCGCCGAGUCCAGCGCUGCCCCCUCAUACCCAUCCCCACCCAGGCUGCGUGUCCGGGGCCCCUCCGGGGCUUGGCACCAGCAGGCACGCAGCGAUCGCCGUCGUUGUUAUUUAGUAGUAGUAGUAACGGCUGACAUUUACAGCGACGUCGAUGGCGCCAGGUGCCAAGCUCUUUCCUUGUAUAAUUUCAUGGACACUCACGCAUCAACUCUAAGCGAAGACUUGGAGCGGGGCUCAGCACCCCAGGGGUACCUCUGCAACCUCGAAAUGAAGUUGAAAAUAGCACAGGAGCCCACUAUCACUGUGUGAACAUUUUGUGAAUGAAGACAUGUAUGAAAGGAUGUUUGGAGGCUUCAAGAAACGAAAGCCGAGAGUCUAGCUAGACCAGAGCCAUCCAGCCCAGGAGCGAUGGCCACGUGUGGCCGCUGGACACGAGAGACGUGGCCAGUCCAAACUGUGCAGUGCGGUAAGGGCAGAACACAUGCCAGCUUUCGAAGGCUUAGUAAAGAAUGCAAAAUUUCUCAAUUGGGAAUUUUUGUAUGAAUUUCAGGUUGAAAAAAACAUUUUGGAUAUAUGGUGUUAAAUAAACAUGAUUACAAUGACUUUCGCUGUCAGCCUCCCGGAGGCUCAUUUUGCUCCUCUGGGCCACAGCCAGCUCAGAGGGUUGCUCUAGGAAAUAUCUACACGUUCUUGAAGCACAGGUUUAUGUGCCAGGCACUGUACUAAGUGCUGGGGACACGGCGUUAAGACCAGGCCCUCACGGAGCCCUCACUCUCUGAGGAGGAACAAUAAGUCAGAGAGCGCGCGAGUGCAGCCCUUCAGGCAAAGGAUUUCAGGCCCAGGUCAGGAAGGCCUUGUCUGAGGAGUCUGAGAAGAAGUCAAUUGACAACAGCUAGAACAUCUAGGUCAGGCACUCCAGGCCGACACGACAAAGCAGGUGCAAAGGCCCCAGGGCGGGAACCAGCGUGGCUUGUUCACAGAACAAGGAGGUAGAUCGCUUGCCCUUGGGACCAAAGGAAGGCUCUGGAUUUUAUUCUAGGGGCAGUGGAAGCCGUUGGAGGGCCUCAGGCAGGAACACAAGGUGUCGUGGCAGAAAGGAAGAAGGGGCCGGGCACGGUGGCCCACACCCGUCAUCCCAGCACUUUGGGAGGGAGGCCAAGGCAGGAGGAUCGCUUCAAUCCAGGAGUUCAAGAUCAGCCUGGGCAACACAGCAAGACCCCGUCUCUACUAAAACCCUAAAACUUAGCCAGGCUUGGUGGCAUGUGCCUAAGGUCCCAGGUCCUCGGGAGACUAAGGCAGGAGGAUUGCUUAAGCCCAAGAGUUUGAGGCUGCAGUGAACUAUUAUCACACCACUGCACUCAGCCUGGGUGACAGAGUGACUCUGUCUCAAAACUAAAUAAAUAAACAAUAAUUGUGUU